RNAcentral lists this small nuclear RNA (19 nucleotides) under Arabidopsis thaliana (thale cress). Its description in RNAcentral is "snRNA_09937". The record is from RNAcentral. Lineage: Eukaryota; Viridiplantae; Streptophyta; Magnoliopsida; Brassicales; Brassicaceae.
ACGAUCUGGAUACUCUUCU